GUUUGCCCACGGCUGCCCUAGACACUAGAGUUUGGUCUUGCCCUUUUUUUUUUUUUUUUUACACAUGGCUUUGAAUCUUAAUCUUCUGGCUCCAGAACCCCAUUAGAGAGAACAUCAUGAAAGUCUGGAAGGAUUAACCAUUGAAGAUGCCAUCAUUGUUACAGAGAAAGCAAUGAAAGCCAUCAAGCCCGAAACAAUAAUUCCUGCUGGAGAAACUGCCCUGAUGCUGUGCAUGACUUCACAGGAUUUACGACAAAGCCAAUCAAGGAAAUCAUGACAGAUUGUGGAAUUGGUGAAGGUGGGUGGUGAAGGGUCUCAGGAUGUGGAUCUUGGAAAAAUUCAAGAGCUCAUAGAUUGCACACCAGAAGAAUUCACAGAAGACGACUCAAUGGAGUUGAGUGUUUCUGAGCCAGUGCCAGACGAUGAGGAAGAAGACAGAAGCAGCAGCCAGAAAACAGUUGUUAUCAGACAGGCAGAAGAGUUCUGAUUAUUCAAGACUGCUUUUGGCUUUGACGACAUGGACCCUUCUAUGAUACAGGCACUGAAACAAAAGCAAAUGGUGGAGUUUCUUCCACCUCUGCCACCCACCUGAGAGGCAGCCGCCGACCUCUUCCUCCUCCUCAGCCUGUUCAACAUGGCUUUGUGUGUCUUCAUGUGGCAGGAACUGUGUGAGGCCUUGUGUCGUCAUGUCCAAAGUAUUUUCAUUGUGUAGAACAUCGAGCACAAGAUGUGUAUGAGAGUGGAUAGCCUACCACACAUAGGCAAGAACAGGCCGGCGCAGACCUGUAACCUGAGUUUGUGCAAUCAGAUGCUCCUCAGAGCCUGAGCAGACAAGCCAAGGACAGGACCGGUGGGCAGGUGAGAGGAAGGUGAGCCCCUGAAGGGGUCGCUCUCCCUCCUGUGUCUGGGUGAGACCCCCUAGACUCCCUUAGCUUCCAACUCCACACCCACCUAACAGAUUCCCUUUGGCUCACAUUAGCCCAUCUCUUCCUGUUGUUGGCAUUAAACAUCCUAACAGACCUGAUUAGGAUUUGGCAGGGAGUCUUCACCCUCAAGCCUCGUUUCACCAGAAUCCCUGGUACAUCUUAUUACCGCUCAUGUCACAACACCAGGGCUGGGUCCAUGCCAAGCUCCCUGGGGGUUCGGAUGUUCAGCCAGGGUGGAGAAGUAUGGCUUUAGGUUGUCUUGGCCAGUGAGUAAAUUUUAUAAAUCACCACAAUCAGAGGUACUGAAAAGAGAGACACAAAAAUACUGUGGCAGGAUCAUAAAUCCUACGUGUUCUUUGGCUGCCUUGAAUUAAGUGAGGACACUUCCCAGAAUCCUGUUUAUUUGGGAAAUUGGAAAAUUCUAGCCAUCACCAAGAAUGGUUUUGUUUUUUCUUAGGUUACCUGACUUCCCUCGGUACCUAGAGCUGAUUACAGCACCAGGAAAAAUUUAAAAAGUAGAUAUGCAUUUCCCUGUAUUGUUACUCAUUAAAGAUCUACUUCAUCUACUUAUUUGCUCAAACUGCUGUGUACCCCCAACUGCUGGGGACACCAGUGUCCUAUCUCAGCCCGUUUUCCUCCAGUUAAUUGUACCCCAUUCUGGGUCUUGCUGCCCAGCCUCUGUGAUCAGGGGCUGGGGUUCAGGCUUUCUGCUUUGUUCUUUUGUAGACUGAUAAAUAAAUGCUUUUUCCUCUCAGCGAUUGCAAAUCAGGAGAACAUCCAUGCUCAUCAUUCAUUCAUUCAUACUCUUUUUAUUUUUUAAAAAAAUCUUUUAGUAAUUUCACAUAAUUUUAUUAUUUUUUAAUCCUCAUAUUUUUUCAAUUGAUUUUGAG
This is a long non-coding RNA of Myotis myotis, 1816 nucleotides long. RefSeq lists it as uncharacterized. The transcript has 3 exons. Lineage: Eukaryota; Metazoa; Chordata; Mammalia; Chiroptera; Vespertilionidae. The record is from RefSeq and is a predicted model, not a curated record.